CAGCAGUCAGCACCGGCCAGCACGAGCGUUUGUUCUUGUGGAAGGUAAGCCGUGGUUUUAUCAUGUUUUUGGAAGCCUCAUGCAGUCAUCGUAUGCAGUAUGGCUUUGGGUGAGGUUUAUGGUCAUCCUGUGAAGGGUCCUAUAGGUGUAGAACAAAAUGUGAUUCCUCAAUCCUUGAAAUAUGUACUGGAGGGCAGAAAUUGUACCUCUUGGCGAUGAGACAUGCUGUCCACUAGGUGGUGCACCGUUGCUGUCUGGUGAGUGAAACUUUAAUAUCUGUAAUUUAAUAGUGGUUUAUUAAUAAUUUAUGAAAAGCUUUAACCAGCACUGUGGGGUAUCUGCAUGCAGUUGUAUGUCUGACUGGAUGUUCAAAUGGCAGUGCUAGAUUACUUCGGCACCUACUAUUAUUGGACCUUAUAUCUGUUGUUGGGUCCUAGUAGUGAUCGAGACAAAUUUUUCUUCCCAGGUAUGUUACAUUUUGAGACAUUGUCCAGUGUUAACAUUUAUUGCAUUACAGUAAAUGCUGAAUGCAAGACUAGUUUUCUACAAAAGCGGUCUGUGAACACCCAUGAACUACAUGAAUGCUAUGCUUUCAUGUCAGCUUUGUAGUGCUGGCAUGCAUGGUUUGAGCAUUUGUUAGUGGCCUGUCAUCACUUCUCACGCAUACCCAACGUGGCCCAGCCCUAUUGCCCCUGCUUAUAGAAGGUGCUCUCAUGGGAGGGUAACUGCAUACUGUCCCAUCCACCUUAGAAGCCAUGUGACAUUGUUUCAAAAGCUCAGCAUGUCUUGAUGAUCCUGAUUUGUUCAUUUUGGGUCCACAGAUCCCAUAUGGCUAGUUUGAAUGAUUUUGGAAGGCUGUCGUUCUUCCAGAGCUGUACAACAAAGGGGUCAGAUUUGCAGUCCGGGCUUUGCCAUCCACAUGUUACAUGGAAGGUGAGAGUGCUUCCACUGAUCUGGAUCACGUUCAAAGGGGGUCAGCCACUUGCCUCCACUGGCGAUCCUUAACGCUGUGAUCCUAUAUAACUGCCCGGCAAGACGUUAUAUGUGGAAAUCUUGUGGUCAAGAAUUUUGCAAUGUGUGAUGCAUGUAUAUUUUAGUCUGACACAGGCUAAUAAAACUUAACAUUGUGAAA
Triplophysa rosa is the source of this 1132-nucleotide long non-coding RNA. RefSeq lists it as uncharacterized. The transcript is spliced from 7 exons. NCBI's taxonomy places the organism in Eukaryota, Metazoa, Chordata, Actinopteri, Cypriniformes, Nemacheilidae. The record is from RefSeq and is a predicted model, not a curated record.